RNAcentral lists this ribosomal RNA (292 nucleotides) under uncultured Flavobacteriaceae bacterium. Its description in RNAcentral is "partial 16S ribosomal RNA". It matches the Rfam family "Bacterial small subunit ribosomal RNA", at positions 1 to 301 of the family's 1533-position model. The record is from RNAcentral. Lineage: Bacteria; Pseudomonadati; Bacteroidota; Flavobacteriia; Flavobacteriales; Flavobacteriaceae.
AGCUGAGUUUGAUCCUGGCUCAGGAUGAACGCUAGCGGCAGGCUUAACACAUGCAAGUCGAGGGGUAUAGUUCUUCGGAAUUAGAGACCGGCGCACGGGUGCGUAACGCGUAUGCAAUCUACCUUUUGCAGAGGGAUAGCCCAGAGAAAUUUGGAUUAAUACCUCAUAGUAUAGUGAUACCGCAUGGUACUGCUAUUAAAGUCACAACGGCAAAGAUGAGCAUGCGUCCCAUUAGCUAGUUGGUAAGGUAACGGCUUACCAAGGCUACGAUGGGUAGGGGUCCUGAGAGGGA